Gossypium raimondii (Peruvian cotton) is the source of this 1291-nucleotide long non-coding RNA. RefSeq lists it as uncharacterized. The transcript has 2 exons. The record is from RefSeq and is a predicted model, not a curated record. NCBI's taxonomy places the organism in Eukaryota, Viridiplantae, Streptophyta, Magnoliopsida, Malvales, Malvaceae.
AUUAAAAAUGGGUAAAUUAGUCUUUGUACGUUAAAUCAAAGAGCAAACUGGUCAUUCUGUUAAAAAUUUCAUCUAUUUCUUCUAUUAAAAUUGACCUUUGUACAUAAGCAUGAGGUAUAUAUGACAUGCCACAUGUCACUUUCUAGUUAUUUUAUCAACUACGUUAGUUUUUAACAAUAUAAAUGAAUGAAAUUUUUAACAGAAAGGACCAAUUUACUCUUUAAUUUAAUAUAAAAAGACUAAUUUACUAAUUUUUUAGUAGAGAGAAAAAAAUACGAUCUGACUCUAAGUACAUAGGCCUCCACGAUGCUCCCAAAUUAAACUAUUUUUAAAUUGACGAAAUUAUUGGAAUCAAAAGUAAAAGGAUUAAAUUUAAAAAUCCAAAGAGCACAGGAACUGAGGAUAAAAUUAGACCAUAUAUAAAAUUCAAAGAAUCUCAAACAUCGUCAACGGAAAUAGAGCAUCUUCUUCCUUGAUUGCCAAGAAAAAAACAUGGUCUCAUGAACAAUAUAUAUACAUACAAGUCCCCCAAUUGCUCUUUGAAACCAGUACCAGUACUCAGUUGCAAAUUUUGACUCAGUUUUGAUGUCGUCAAGCACUGAAAUCUUCUCUUCCUCACGCGAAAAGCUGAAAGCAAAAUCCUCAAACAUGAGGAUUCAUAAAAGAAAGCUUCAUGACCACCAAGUUCAGAACAACAGUCCGAUGAAGAAACAGAAAGACUUUGCGGUGAUCAAAACCCUACUUCGAAUAUCUUCAACGAGACGCAUUGCGGUCAUCGGUUCUGCUCCGAUUGCAUUCGACGUCACAUCGUAACGAAAUUGAAAGACGAAAACACGAUCGCGGUUGGUUGUCCGGAACCCAAUUGUGAUACCUCGAUAACGCCUGAACAAUGUGAAUCGAUAUUACCGGGAGAAGUGAUUUAUAGAAGGGAUGAUGCGUUGCUUUACUCUGUAAUAUUGCCGCUUCUGGUAUUUGAAUGCCCUUACGAGGAUUGUAAAGCUAAGUUAAUAGAUGAAGUGAUGGGAGGGACAGAAUGUGAGUGCCCUAAUUGUCUGACUAUAAUUUGUGGCGAAUGUAGGGAUUUCAAGCAUGAAGGUAUGGGAUGUGAGAAAUUUAAGGAAUUUGGGAAUUUGCAGUGAAUUUUGCUGGAAAAGACUGAUAAAAGUUGAAUGAUGGUGAGUUUCUUCGUUAAAUUGUUAAAUGAUUAUAUUAUAUGUUAGGAAACUAAUAAAAUUUAAAUAUGAAAUUAAAUUGUAUAUUUUUAUAAUGGUAAAAAAAGUAAUUUUAUUAA